AUGGCCAGCCGCCGCCGCCGCCGCUCGCCGAGGGCGACGCCGCUGGACAAUGACGAUUUGCUUUCCGAGAUCCUCCUCCGCCUCCCACCGCAGCCCUCCUCCCUCCCUCGCGCCUCGUUCGUCUGCAAGCGCUGGCGCUCCCUCGUCUCCGACCCAGGCUUCCUCCGCCGCUUCCGCGUCCACCACCGUCCUCAACUGCCGCCAUGGUCUCGUACUCAUCUCUGA
RNAcentral lists this ribosomal RNA (225 nucleotides) under Triticum aestivum (bread wheat). RNAcentral's name for it is "partial small subunit ribosomal RNA". Lineage: Eukaryota; Viridiplantae; Streptophyta; Magnoliopsida; Poales; Poaceae. The record is from RNAcentral.